Molecule: ribosomal RNA, 468 nt
Filed under: uncultured bacterium
Lineage: Bacteria
Description: partial 16S ribosomal RNA
Rfam family: Bacterial small subunit ribosomal RNA
Source: RNAcentral
GACGAACGCUGGCGGCGUGCUUAACACAUGCAAGUCGAACGGAAAGGCCCUGCUUUUGUGGGGUGCUCGAGUGGCGAACGGGUGAGUAACACGUGAGUAACCUGCCCUUGACUUUGGGAUAACUUCAGGAAACUGGGGCUAAUACCGGAUAGGAGCUCCUGCUGCAUGGUGGGGGUUGGAAAGUUUCGGCGGUUGGGGAUGGACUCGCGGCUUAUCAGCUUGUUGGUGGGGUAGUGGCUUACCAAGGCUUUGACGGGUAGCCGGCCUGAGAGGGUGACCGGCCACAUUGGGACUGAGAUUCGGCCCAGACUCCUACGGGAGGCAGCAGUGGGGAAUAUUGCACAAUGGGCGGAAGCCUGAUGCAGCAACGCCGCGUGCGGGAUGACGGCCUUCGGGUUGUAAACCGCUUUCGACUGUGACGAAGCGUGAGUGACGGUAAUGGGUAAAGAAGCACCGGCUAACUACGUG